RNAcentral lists this ribosomal RNA (429 nucleotides) under Chloroflexota bacterium. RNAcentral's name for it is "Chloroflexi bacterium partial 16S ribosomal RNA". It matches the Rfam family "Bacterial small subunit ribosomal RNA", at positions 355 to 776 of the family's 1533-position model. Lineage: Bacteria; Bacillati; Chloroflexota. The record is from RNAcentral.
UGGGGAAUAUUGCACAAUGGGCGCAAGCCUGAUGCAGCCAUGCCGCGUGUAUGAAGAAGGCCUUCGGGUUGUAAAGCACUUUCAGCGGGGAGGAAGGCGUUAAGGUUAAUAACCUUGGCGAUUGACGUUACCCGCAGAAGAAGCACCGGCUAACUCCGUGCCAGCAGCCGCGGUAAUACGGAGGGUGCAAGCGUUAAUCGGAAUUACUGGGCGUAAAGCGCACGCAGGCGGUCUGUCAAGUCGGAUGUGAAAUCCCCGGGCUCAACCUGGGAACUGCAUUCGAAACUGGCAGGCUAGAGUAUUGUAGAGGGGGGUAGAAUUCCAGGUGUAGCGGUGAAAUGCGUAGAGAUCUGGAGGAAUACCGGUGGCGAAGGCGGCCCCCUGGACGAAGACUGACGCUCAGGUGCGAAAGCGUGGGGAGCAAACAGG